UGUAUCUUUAAGACUUACAGAUACAAAUAGUAAAUCCACUUUUGCAACCCAGAACUCACUGCUGAGUAUAAACUUUGGUAUGUAUAAGAAGGAAUAUG
RNAcentral lists this small nucleolar RNA (98 nucleotides) under Dipodomys ordii (Ord's kangaroo rat). RNAcentral's name for it is "Small nucleolar RNA SNORA40". It matches the Rfam family "Small nucleolar RNA SNORA40". From Rfam's summary of the family: The snoRNA ACA 40 belongs to the H/ACA family of snoRNAs and guides the pseudouridylation of 28S rRNA subunit at position U4565. NB This family has a high threshold value to exclude a large number of closely related sequences that do not appear to have conserved H and ACA boxes, and may be pseudogenes. The record is from Rfam by way of RNAcentral. Lineage: Eukaryota; Metazoa; Chordata; Mammalia; Rodentia; Heteromyidae.